RNAcentral lists this transfer RNA (77 nucleotides) under Rhizophagus irregularis DAOM 181602=DAOM 197198. RNAcentral's name for it is "tRNA-Ile". It matches the Rfam family "tRNA". Rfam says of the family: Transfer RNA (tRNA) molecules are approximately 80 nucleotides in length. Lineage: Eukaryota; Fungi; Glomeromycota; Glomeromycetes; Glomerales; Glomeraceae. The record is from RNAcentral.
CCCGGUUAGUUCAGUUGGUUAGAACGCCACAACUUAUUAAAAUCGUGGAAACGCGGGUUCAAUUCCUGCACUGGGCU